This 495-nucleotide ribosomal RNA is filed under the name uncultured archaeon. RNAcentral's name for it is "bacterial SSU rRNA". It matches the Rfam family "Archaeal small subunit ribosomal RNA", at positions 1 to 473 of the family's 1478-position model. The record is from RNAcentral.
UUCUGGUUGAUCCUGCCGGACCUUACUGCUAUCGGGNGUGGGACUAAGACAUGCGAGUCGAGCGUCUCUAGCUAUGUUGAGACGCGGCAUACGGCUCAGUAACACGUGGCUAACCUACCCUCAGGACAGGGACAACCCCGGGAAACUGGGGCUAAUACCCGAUAGGUGAGGAUACCUGGAAUGGUUUCUCACUCAAAGGGCUUUAGAAACAUGCUUCUUCUGUCGCCUGGGGAUGGGGCCGCGACCGAUCAGGUUGUUGGUGAGGUAACGGCUCACCAAGCCUAUAACCGGUACGGGCCGUGAGAGCGGUAGCCCGGAGAUGGGUACUGAGACAAGGACCCAGGCCCUACGGGGCGCAGCAGUCGCGAAAACUCCGCAAUGCACGAAAGUGUGACGGGGCUACCCCGAGUGCCAUCCGCUGAGGAUGGCUUUUCCUUGGUAUAACUAGCCAAGGGAAUAAGGAGAGGGCAAGACUGGUGUCAGCCGCCGCGGUAA